RNAcentral lists this long non-coding RNA (281 nucleotides) under Salvia miltiorrhiza (redroot sage). RNAcentral describes it as "long non-coding RNA (SMIL_LNC011719)". The record is from RNAcentral. Lineage: Eukaryota; Viridiplantae; Streptophyta; Magnoliopsida; Lamiales; Lamiaceae.
AUAAAAGUAAAUAUUUCCAUUAAGGUUUAGUAUUCAUUAUUUAAUUAGAGAAAAAAUAAUCAUUUAUAUGAAUAAAUGUAAUAUUUAAAAAAACAGAAAUAAAUGAAAAAAGUAGAAAAAAAAAAGUAAUUAUUCAUAUGAAGAAAUGUAAUGUUUUGAAACAUUACAUUUGUUCAGAUUGAUUACUAUUUUUCUUCAUAAUAAUGAUUAUUUUAUAUAUGCGCCCAGCCCAGCUCAUGCCCAAGCCCGUAAGCCCGCGCCCGAUCCGCGCCCCGACCCGA